AUUGAACGCUGGCGGCAGGCCUAACACAUGCAAGUCGAACGGUAACAGGAAGCAGCUUGCUGCUUUGCUGACGAGUGGCGGACGGGUGAGUAAUGUCUGGGAAACUGCCUGAUGGAGGGGGAUAACUACUGGAAACGGUAGCUAAUACCGCAUAACGUCGCAAGACCAAAGAGGGGGACCUUCGGGCCUCUUGCCAUCGGAUGUGCCCAGAUGGGAUUAGCUAGUAGGUAGGGUAAAGGCUCACCUAGGCGACGAUCCCUAGCUGGUCUGAGAGGAUGACCAGCCACACUGGAACUGAGACACGGUCCAGACUCCUACGGGAGGCAGCAGUGGGGAAUAUUGCACAAUGGGCGCAAGCCUGAUGCAGCCAUGCCGCGUGUAUGAAGAAGGCCUUCGGGUUGUAAAGUACUUUCAGCGGGGAGGAAGGGAGUAAAGUUAAUACCUUUGCUCAUUGACGUUACCCGCAGAAGAAGCACCGGCUAACUCCGUG
Molecule: ribosomal RNA, 490 nt
Filed under: uncultured bacterium
Lineage: Bacteria
Description: partial 16S ribosomal RNA
Rfam family: Bacterial small subunit ribosomal RNA
Source: RNAcentral